This is a non-coding RNA of Pelobates cultripes (western spadefoot toad), 218 nucleotides long. Lineage: Eukaryota; Metazoa; Chordata; Amphibia; Anura; Pelobatidae. The record is from the annotation of a GenBank genome assembly.
GGAUCACCCAAAGAAAGGUACAUUACACAGGGUUAUUUUAGCAGAAUCCUGUUAAUAUGGGUACUUUCCUUUCUAUCUCCGUCACAAAGAUUAUUGUUAAUUACUCAUGUUGUUCCGUUCUUCUAGAUUAUAAAAGGAUUUUCAUAGCCAAAGGUGAUUAACACAAUUAGUUUGAGGCAUUGGUAUGAUGCUGUAUAUAUUUCUCACUUGAUAAAGAC